RNAcentral lists this non-coding RNA (237 nucleotides) under Tetragenococcus muriaticus. RNAcentral describes it as "T-box sequence". It matches the Rfam family "T-box leader". Rfam says of the family: Uncharged tRNA acts as the effector for transcription antitermination of genes in the T-box leader family. The record is from RNAcentral. Lineage: Bacteria; Bacillati; Bacillota; Bacilli; Lactobacillales; Enterococcaceae.
AGACGGACAAAGACAUGGUAAGUAAAAAGGAAAGAGUUUUUUACAGAGAACUCCGCAAGCUGAGAAGGAGAAAAACGUCCUUUUGAAAAUGGCCAUCGAGUGAUUCAUCUGUAAGUUUAUAAAAUAAAGAGAUGACGGGGCAACCGAUAUUUUGCUAGUAUAUCCCUAUACUAUAAAGAGAAGCUGGUUUAUCUAUACAGCUUAAUUGAGGUGGUACCGCGCGUUAGCGUCCUCAAG